GUUUGAUCCUGGCUCAGAACGAACGUUAGCGGCGCGCCUAACACAUGCAAGUCGAGCGAGAAGGGGGCAACCCCUGUAAAAGCGGCGCACGGGUGAGUAACACGUAGGUAAUCUACCUCGAGGUGGUGGAUAACCUUCCGAAAGGAGGGCUAAUACAGCAUGGGACCACGUCUUCGAAAGAGGAUGAGGUAAAAGCGGGCCUCUAUACAUAAGCUCGCGCCACGAGAUGAGCCUGCGGCCCAUCAUGGUAGUUGGUAGGGUAACGGCCUACCAAGCCGAAGACGGGUAGCUGGUCUGAGAGGAUGAUCAGCCACACUGGAACUGAGACACGGUCCAGACUCCUACGGGAGGCAGCAGUGGGGAAUCUUGCGCAAUGGGCGAAAGCCUGACGCAGCGACGCCGCGUGAGUGAUGAAGGCCU
Molecule: ribosomal RNA, 420 nt
Filed under: uncultured bacterium
Lineage: Bacteria
Description: bacterial SSU rRNA
Rfam family: Bacterial small subunit ribosomal RNA
Source: RNAcentral